AAAAGAAAUUAAUUUAAUUAAAUUGUUAUAAAACUCUAGAUUUAGAUUUAAAAUAGGAAGUAUAUGUUUAUAACAAUAGCAACAAAAUAUUUUUCAUUUCCAAUUAACUAGCUAGGUGUAUUAUGUCAAUACUUUUUUGAAUAAUAUUGAAUUGAUGCAUUUUAAAAUAACCCUUAUUCAAAUAAUAAUAUUUAAUUAUGAUAAUUAGCUAAUUAAUUGACAUUUUAGAUUGGGACUGGCAUGAAGAUGGGAUUACACCAGAGAG
RNAcentral lists this unclassified non-coding RNA (265 nucleotides) under Hevea brasiliensis (rubber tree). Lineage: Eukaryota; Viridiplantae; Streptophyta; Magnoliopsida; Malpighiales; Euphorbiaceae. The record is from RNAcentral.